Molecule: unclassified non-coding RNA, 364 nt
Filed under: air metagenome
Description: partial contains small subunit ribosomal RNA, internal transcribed spacer 1, and 5.8S ribosomal RNA
Rfam family: Eukaryotic small subunit ribosomal RNA (bases 1-46)
Source: RNAcentral
AAGUCGUAACAAGGUUUCCGUAGGUGAACCUGCGGAAGGAUCAUUAACGAGUUGGAACGUGGAGGUUGAUGCUGGUGCUAUAUAAUGUACAUGUGCUCGCCUUCGCACUCUUCAUCCACUCAACCCCUGUGCACUUUAUCAGAGUUAGUAUUAGUUGUAGUGGCCAUUUUGUUAUUCAUUGUUAGAAUGGAGGGCAACCCCUUCCACGACAGCAGUCAUGAUAAUAAUGAUGGUUUCUACUAUUACUAUGAACACUUUGAACUUUACUUAUAUAAACACUUUUCUUGUUCUUGUGAAUGUGUAAUGCUCCCUGUGAGCAAAAUAUAAAUCUAUACAACUUUCAACAACGGAUCUCUUGGCUCUC